Molecule: long non-coding RNA, 1345 nt
Organism: Dendroctonus ponderosae (mountain pine beetle)
Lineage: Eukaryota; Metazoa; Arthropoda; Insecta; Coleoptera; Curculionidae
Exons: 2
Source: RefSeq, a predicted model, not a curated record
ACUGAAAAUAUAUUACUUGUUGAGUAUACCACCAAAAUUUCACAAUUCUACAAGUCGAUUGUAGAACCGGGCUGAAUCCAUCAGUCGUUCAGGCGAGAGUAAUACAGAUACAAAACUGGGAUUUUAGUGACAGAUUGGUGAAUGCCAAUUUUAUAUGCUGGGAAAGUUUCACAUUGUUGGCUUCAACAGGUAUUUUUGCAGGAGUUUUCAAACAUGUGGUAAAUUUCAUGGAGACAUUGCUUCAUUUUCUGAAGUGCUCAUUUAGUGGAAAGCAAUCUGCCUAGUUUUAAAAAUGAAUAAUGCAUUGCUUCGAAAUGCAUCUACGCACAUACGCGAGACGCAUUUAGAUUGAACAAAUCAUGGUUCCCCCAGCUAGGUCAACCGAAUUUAGAACCCAUGAACGUUGAAGUGCGGUAGAUCGCAACCACGCCAAAUGCAAUCUAUUGGCAUCAACGUGAAAUCGGGUUUGUUCCAGUGAAACUUUCACAUUGCCAACAAUUAGACGCGGUUUUUCUGAUAGGAAAUCGCCGAAUAACUGAUAAGGGAUUAGGCAACUGGCCAUAAAAUUAAGCCAAAGUUCAACGAAUGCGAGUGUUUAGCCGCUGAGCAGUGAAAUUGCCAAAAGCUGUUGUUUGCAAGGAAAUUUCCUGAAAACUUUGUUCAGAACAAUAAAUAACAUUGUUCGCUGAUAAAUGAAAGUAAUUGAAUUGAAAUUCGAUUUAUCAGCCACUCACUUUGUAACCGGGCUGAUUUACAACCAGCAUUGGACAAAAAACGCUAUUAUUAAUAAUUAAUAUGCAGGCCAAAGUACCACUUGGUCUGCUUUUGCUCAUCAGCCAUCAAUUGAUCGGCUUCCAAGGAAAUUUUACGACUAUGCGGGCUGAGUUUGAGGGGGCCAAAGUCCUCAAGCAAUAAAAAUAUAAUUAGUAACUAUUCGGUUUCCGUUUGUGUCACACAGCGGGUACUUUGGGUCGAGGUACAAAAAAUGAACCCAACAACCUGAAGCGCAUUUUAAGCUGUUUCCCCACUUAUAAAGCCUUGAAGAUUUCACUUUUUUCCACGAGGGGAAAACAAUAAACUUGUAGAUAUGCAAAGGUCACCUUUGCUCCAACGAGCCUCACCAGCCCCCAUUCACUUGGUCAGAGCGUGAACAAAACUCUUCAUUUAUCACUAGUUGAAAUUUGAAUUUGCCAAACAAUCGCUGACCUUAGAUCAUGAAAUUUUGGCUUACUUAACGAACGAACACGAGGAAGGUAAACCAUCAAUAAAUAUGUAUCAUUAAGCCCCAGUUUAUCAUAAUGAAUGUCAUGCAAAACAAUGAAUUAUAUUAAAUUGUUGCCAGUGA